RNAcentral lists this long non-coding RNA (1599 nucleotides) under Homo sapiens (human). RNAcentral describes it as "HSALNT0408968". The record is from RNAcentral. Lineage: Eukaryota; Metazoa; Chordata; Mammalia; Primates; Hominidae.
GGGGAAGAGGGGAAGAUAAUUCAUAUGGAGCAUCACACCAGCUAUCUCCUGCUCCCUGUCCUGCACUGCAAAGGAGGCCUUUUCAUCCUCUCUACUGCCUCCAAUUUUUCUCACGAGGAAUGUGAGAGGAAAACCUAGAGCUUGUUCCUGAAGCAUGGUGCUAAGUCCAUAUGCAGCAGAUGGAGCUCAUGAGAAAAGAGUUGCUCUUGUGAAGACCAAAGCUUGAAAAAGCAUUCCCAGAAGCACGGAGAAGUGAGGAGAAAAGGCAAUGCACCUGGAGCUGGAGACCAAGGCCCUGUUCUUACUGAUGGCCCUUGGAGCAGAUAUUUGAAUUGGAGAGAUAAAACCGUGGUUUUUGGGGUGUUAAUUUUGGUGGCUGAUGCAUUCUGUGAUUGAUUUGGCUAUUACAACUGGUAUUGAUUUUAAACACAUUAAUUGCAAAAUCUCAAUUGUGAUUUGAUUUCUGUAUUUACAAUACUAAAAACGAGGCUUUCGCCAGGAGAAGACAAUUGGCAGUACUCAGUUGGAAGUGCUUAAUUGUUAAUAUAUAUCAGCCGUGGUUCUUCAGCGUCGUCAGUGUUGCUCAGUCUUGCUCUUUGUGGCGACUACUGAAUGCUUGAAAAAUUCUCUCCUAUACUCCCACUCUGCACUGUAGAAGAGAAAGAGAGGAGAGUGGAAGAAAAAAGAGAGGGAGAGGAGAAAGAAAGAGAGGAGAGAGAAACAUGGGCAUGGAUGAUACAUAAGAUAAUUCCAGAAGAUUUCAGCAUAGCAGAUAAAAUACAGCAAAUCCUAACCAGCACAGGUUUGAGUGACAAACGGGCCGGUUCCAUGGACACAGGUGACUUCAUCAGAUUCAUGAAUUAUCAGGAAAGGAGAGGACCUCUAAUUACACUUUGAGAAGAUGCUUCUAUCCCUCAUUACGCUUUGAAAUUGAAGAAUUUAGAUAUAUUUAAGUCUAUUUCACUCUUUUUAACUGAUAGAUGAAUAAACUGUUCUCUUUAUCAAUGAUCCCUCUUGGAGACCAUUUGGUAUUUCUGCUUUUUGGUUAUUAAUAACAAUGCUUCAAUAAAUGCCUUUGCACAUGUCUCCUUGUAAACAUAUGUAAGGAUUUCCCUGAUGCAGCUAAAACCUAGAAGUAGUUUUAUUGGGGAGAAAGGUUUUACAUUUAUAUUAUCAACAUUUUAAGGUACUACCCAUUUGCUAUUCAGACUGGUUUGAUUGGUUUACACUUCUGCCUAUAAUAAAUGUUUAUUAUUUAUUAUUUAUGAUUACUGUUUAUCCAUCUACUGGCUGGCAUGUGAUGUCAUCACACAAUUUCUGCAAACACAAUGGAUGUGAAAUUGUAUCUGAGUUGCUUAAUUUGUGUUUUCCUGACUACUAGUAAUGUUGAGCAUCUUUUACGUUUUUUAUGUACUUUAUUUUUUACAUUAAAUAAAUUUUGACAAAGAAUUUGUGUCCGAAUGCUAAGUGUUAGAAAAUGAAUUAAGUAUUGGGAAUAAAAAAAAUCAAGAAAAUGGAUAAUAUCCCUGUCCUUACAGAGAUUACAUUGGCCAUAUAUUUUCUUCUUAUGGAUCUUAUCUGCAUAUUUAUGGCCCAUUU